UCAGACGAUGCGUCAUGCAUAUCAAUAAGCGGAGGAAAAGAAACUAACAAGGAUUCCCUUAGUAACGGCGAGUGAAGCGGGAAGAGCUCAAAUUUGAAAUCUUCAAGGUUUUACCUUGACGAAUUGUAGUUUAAAGAAGUGUUUUCGGUUAGAGGAGUGGUAAAAGUUCUUUGGAAUAGGACAUCAUAGAGGGUGAGAAUCCCGUAUUUGACCAUUCUUUCUAGCUUUGUGAUACACUUUCAAAGAGUCGGAUUGUUUGGGAAUGCAGUCCAAAAUGGGUGGUAAAUUUCAUCUAAAGCUAAAUAUUGGCGAGAGACCGAUAGCGAACAAGUACCGUGAGGGAAAGAUGAAAAGAACUUUGAAAAGAGAGUUAAACAGUACGUGAAAUUGUCAAAAGGGAAGCGUUUGACACCAGUGUUGUUUUUCCGAAAAUCAAUUAAAAAUGGAUUCAUGCCAAGUUGUAUUGACCUUAUCAGCUUGCAAUUUGGUUUUGGGUUCCUUUUUGAUGCACUUUUCGGUUAACAAGUCAACAUCAAUUUCCUUUGCUGUAAAAGGGCAGAAGGAAGGUGGCUUCAAUUUCGGUUGAAGUGUUUAUAGCCUUUUGUCUCUGCAGUCGGGGAGAUUGAGGUCUGCAGCGUAGAUCCUUCGGGGUUAGAUACAUUCGUGCUAAGUUAUAGCCUUUUAUAGACAACUUGUUGACUAUGAUCGGUCAUUGUAAUUUACUCGCGAGUGCUAUUUUACCUACGCUUAGGAUGUUGAUAUGCAUGACUGAUA
RNAcentral lists this ribosomal RNA (774 nucleotides) under uncultured Neocallimastigales. RNAcentral describes it as "partial large subunit ribosomal RNA". It matches the Rfam family "Eukaryotic large subunit ribosomal RNA", at positions 18 to 642 of the family's 3401-position model. The record is from RNAcentral. Lineage: Eukaryota; Fungi; Neocallimastigomycota; Neocallimastigomycetes; Neocallimastigales.